UGGGGAAUAUUGCACAAUGGGGGAAACCCUGAUGCAGCGACGCCGCGUGAACGAAGAAGGUAUUCGUAUCGUAAAGUUCUGUCCUAUGGGAAGAUAAUGACAGUACCAUAGAAGAAAGCUCCGGCUAAAUACGUGCCAGCAGCCGCGGUAAUACGUAUGGAGCGAGCGUUGUCCGGAAUUAUUGGGCGUAAAGGGUACGCAGGCGGUUUAAUAAGUCGAAUGUUAAAGAUCGGGGCUCAACCCCGCAAAGCAUUGGAAACUGAUAAACUUGAGUAGUGGAGAGGAAAGUGGAAUUCCUAGUGUAGUGGUGAAAUACGUAGAUAUUAGGAGGAAUACCAGUAGCGAAGGCGACUUUCUGGACACAAACUGACGCUGAGGUACGAAAGCAUGGGGAGCAAACAGG
This 403-nucleotide ribosomal RNA is filed under the name bacterium. RNAcentral describes it as "partial 16S ribosomal RNA". It matches the Rfam family "Bacterial small subunit ribosomal RNA", at positions 355 to 776 of the family's 1533-position model. The record is from RNAcentral.